CCAUCCCAGAGGCCCUUAUCUCCGGAGCUGUCCUGUGUGGGGUUGAUACCCAGGCACAGGCUCCUUUGCUCUAGAACCCCUGGGGGCAGUAAUGCAGCCCUUGUGCUCCGAGACUUGUCGAAGUUUGGAGAUACCUGGAGAGCUUGUGGGGCACUCCAGAAGACAAGACAGGGCUAAGGAAGCACAAGGAACUACUGCGAUGACCAUAGGAAGCCACCGCCUCAAGUGUGCCUCAGCUUUCCCACUCAUUUGGUGUGGCUGUUGGUUCUUUCUUCUUUUAUUAUGAACGCCGUAUCUGUGAUACAUUCCGAAUGCAUAGGGACCAGAGAAAAGAGUAGAUGGUUAUUCAGUGUGCCCUUGGAUGGGGGAGAGUCAGGAGCCUUCUGCUGUAUUUCCAACAUCACAUCCUGUUAACCCUUGUGGGAGUGUGGAGAAUCGAAACCACAGCCUCGUACAUUCUGGGCGUGCACUCUAAAACGGAGCUGUGCCCCGGCCCUACCAU
Molecule: long non-coding RNA, 502 nt
Filed under: Fukomys damarensis (Damara mole-rat)
Lineage: Eukaryota; Metazoa; Chordata; Mammalia; Rodentia; Bathyergidae
Description: lncRNA (ENSFDAG00000028851.1)
Source: RNAcentral